UACGGAGGAUCCAAGCGUUAUCCGGAAUCAUUGGGUUUAAAGGGUCCGUAGGCGGCUUUAUAAGUCAGUGGUGAAAUCUGGCGGCUCAACCGUCAAAUUGCCAUUGAUACUGUAGGGCUUGAAUGUUUGUGAAGUAACUAGAAUAUGUAGUGUAGCGGUGAAAUGCUUAGAUAUUACAUGGAAUACCCAUUGCGAAGGCAGGUUACUAACAAAUGAUUGACGCUGAUGGACGAAAGCGUGGGGAGCGAAC
Molecule: ribosomal RNA, 250 nt
Filed under: uncultured bacterium
Lineage: Bacteria
Description: partial 16S ribosomal RNA
Rfam family: Bacterial small subunit ribosomal RNA
Source: RNAcentral